UUUCGCAAUGCCCGAAAGGGUGACGAAGCGACGCCGCGUGGGUGAGGAAGGCCCUCGGGUUGUAAAGCCCUGUCAGGAGUUAAGAAAUGUAGAUUCGCUAAUAUCGGGUCCAUUUGACGAAGGCUCCAAAGGAAGCCACGGCUAACUCUGUGCCAGCAGCCGCGGUAAUACAGAGGUGGCAAGCGUUGUUCGGAAUUAUUGGGCGUAAAGAGCACGUAGGUGGAUUUGCAAGUCAGAUGUGAAAGCCUUCUGUUCAACGGAAGAAUUGCAUCUGAAACUGCGAGUCUUGAGUAUAGGAGGGGAGAAUGGAACUUCUGGUGGAGCGGUGAAAUGCGUAGAUAUCAGAAGGAACGCCGGCGGCGAAAGCGAUUCUCUGGCCUAUUACUGACACUCAGUGUGCGAAAGCUAGGGGAGCAAACGGGAUUAGAUACCCCGGUAGUCCUAGCCGUAAACGAUGGGCACUAAGUAGAGGGGUUUUA
RNAcentral lists this ribosomal RNA (479 nucleotides) under uncultured bacterium. RNAcentral's name for it is "bacterial SSU rRNA". It matches the Rfam family "Bacterial small subunit ribosomal RNA", at positions 364 to 833 of the family's 1533-position model. The record is from RNAcentral.